UGCCUAAUACAUGCAAGUCGAGCGGACAGAYGGGAGCUUGCUCCCUGAUGUUAGGGGCGGACGGGUGAGUAACACGUGGGUAACCUGCCCGUAAGACUGGGAUAACUCCGGGGAACCCGGGCUAAUACCGGAUGGUUUUUUGAACCGCAUGGUUCAAACAUAAAAAAAGGCUUCGGCUACCACUUACAGAUGGACCCGCGGCGCAUUAGCUAGUUGGUGAGGUAACGGCUCACCAAGGGGACGAUGCGUAGCCGACCUGAGAGGGUGAUCGGCCACACUGGGACUGAGACACGGCCCAGACUCCUACGGGAGGCAGCAGUAGGGAAUCUUCCGCAAUGGACGAAAGUCUGACGGAGCAACGCCGCGUGAGUGAUGAAGGAUUUCGGAUCGUAAAGCUCUGUUGUUAGGGAAAAACAAGUACCGUUCGAAUAGGGCGGUACCUUGACGGUACCUAACCAGAAAGCCACGGCUAACUACGUGCCAGCAGCCGCGGUAAUACGUAGGUGGCAAGCGUUGUCCGGAAUUAUUGGGCGUAAAGGGCUCGCAGGCGGCCCUUUAAGUCUGAUGUAAAAACCCCCGGCUCAACCGGGGAGGGUCAUUGGAAACUGGGGAACUUGAGUGCAGAAGAGGAGAGUGGAAUUCCACGUGUAGCGGUGAAAUGCGUAGAGAUGUGGAGGAACACCAGUGGCGAAGGCGACUUUUUGGUCUGUAACUGACGCUGAGGAGCGAAGGCGUGGGGAGCGAACAGGAUUAGAUACCCUGGUAGUCCACGCCGUAAACGAUGAGUGUUAAGUGUUAGGGGGUUUCCGCCCCUUAGUGCUGCAGCUAACGCAUUAAGCACUCCGCCUGGGGAGUACGGUCGCAAAACUGAAACUCAAAGGAAUUGAGGGGGGCCCGCACAAGCGGUGGAGCAUGUAGGUUUAAUUCGAAGCAACGCGAAGAACCUUACCAGGUCUUGACAUCCUCUGACAAUCCUAGAGAUAGGACGUCCCCUUCGGGGGCAGAGUGACAGGUGGUGCAUGGUUAUCGUCAGCUCGUGUCGUGAGAUGUUGGGUUAAGUCCCGCAACGAGCGCAACCCUUGAUCUUAGUUGCCAGCAUUCAGUUGGGCACUCUAAGGUGACUGCCGGUGACAAACCGGAGGAGGGUGGGGACGACGUCAAAUCAUCAUGCCCCUUAUGACCUGGGCUACACACGUGCUACAAUGGACAGAACAAAGGGCAGCGAAACCGCGAGGUUAAGCCAAUCCCACAAAUCUGUUCUCAGUUCGGAUCGCAGUCUGCCU
This 1283-nucleotide ribosomal RNA is filed under the name Bacillus sp. NiVa52. RNAcentral's name for it is "bacterial SSU rRNA". It matches the Rfam family "Bacterial small subunit ribosomal RNA", at positions 45 to 1310 of the family's 1533-position model. The record is from RNAcentral. Lineage: Bacteria; Bacillati; Bacillota; Bacilli; Caryophanales; Bacillaceae.